Molecule: long non-coding RNA, 187 nt
Organism: Epinephelus fuscoguttatus (brown-marbled grouper)
Lineage: Eukaryota; Metazoa; Chordata; Actinopteri; Perciformes; Serranidae
Exons: 3
Source: RefSeq, a predicted model, not a curated record
CGGAGAAAAAACAGGAUUUGACUGCUCAGCUGGAACAGCUCUCUUAGACAGAGAAACUUCCGGAACAAAUACAGAACCUGAGGACAGCUGAGCAGGAAUUAAAGCACAAACUGGAGCAGCUUCAGCUUCAGCUUCAGCUUCAGGAAGUCAUGCGGACUAAAGAUGAGGAGAUACAGACAGUAUUAAC